UACAGAGGGUGCGAGCGUUAAUCGGAAUUACUGGGCGUAAAGCGCACGUAGUCGGCUUUGCAAGUCGGGUGUGAAAUCCCCGGGCUCAACCUGGGAACUGCAUCCGAGACUGCAUUGCUAGAGUAUGGGAGAGGGAAGCGGAAUUUCUGGUGUAGCAGUGAAAUGCGUAGAGAUCAGCAGGAACACCCGUGGCGAAGGCGGCCCCCUGGGCCGAACCUGACGCUGAGGCGCGAAGGCUAGGGGAGCGAACGGG
RNAcentral lists this ribosomal RNA (253 nucleotides) under uncultured bacterium. Its description in RNAcentral is "partial 16S ribosomal RNA". It matches the Rfam family "Bacterial small subunit ribosomal RNA", at positions 524 to 776 of the family's 1533-position model. The record is from RNAcentral.